GACGAACGCUGGCGGCGUGCCUAACACAUGCAAGUCGAACGGAACUUGAGCUUCGGUUUAAGUUUAGUGGCGAACGGGUGAGUAACGCGUGAGGAACCUGCCUUUCAGUGGGGGACAACAGUUGGAAACGACUGCUAAUACCGCAUAAUGUUAUCGGACGGCAUCGUCUGAUAACCAAAGAUUUAUUGCUGAAAGAUGGCCUCGCGUCUGAUUAGAUAGUUGGUGGGGUAACGCCUACCAAGUCGACGAUCAGUAGCCGGAUGAGAGGUUGAACGGCCACAUUGGGACUGAGAUACGGCCCA
Molecule: ribosomal RNA, 302 nt
Filed under: uncultured bacterium
Lineage: Bacteria
Description: bacterial SSU rRNA
Rfam family: Bacterial small subunit ribosomal RNA
Source: RNAcentral